Molecule: ribosomal RNA, 693 nt
Filed under: Teratosphaeriaceae sp. TRN450
Lineage: Eukaryota; Fungi; Ascomycota; Dothideomycetes; Mycosphaerellales; Teratosphaeriaceae
Description: eukaryotic LSU rRNA
Rfam family: Eukaryotic large subunit ribosomal RNA
Source: RNAcentral
GUAGAGGAUGCUAUUGGGUAGCCACCGGUCUAAGUCCCCUGGAACGGGGCGUCGCAGAGGGUGAGAAUCCCGUAUGUGACCGGAAGGGCGCCCUCCACAUAGCUCCUUCGACGAGUCGAGUUGUUUGGGAAUGCAGCUCUAAAUGGGAGGUAAAUUCCUUCUAAAGCUAAAUACCGGCCAGAGACCGAUAGCGCACAAGUAGAGUGAUCGAAAGAUGAAAAGCACUUUGGAAAGAGAGUUAAAAAGCACGUGAAAUUGUUGAAAGGGAAGCGCUUGCAACCAGACUUGUUGGCGGUGUUCCGCCGGUCUUCUGACCGGUGUACUCACCGUCUGCAGGCCAGCAUCAUCUGGGGCCGCCGGAUAAAAGCGGGGGGAAUGUGGCUCUUCCGGGAGUGUUAUAGCCCCUCGUGCAAUACGGCGUGCCUCGGGUGAGGUCCGCGCUUCGGCUAGGAUGCUGGCGUAAUGGUCGUAAGCGGCCCGUCUUGAAACACGGACCAAGGAGUCUAACAUCUAUGCGAGUGUUCGGGUGCCAAACCCCUACGCGUAAUGAAAGUGAACGGAGGUGGGAGCCUUAGGGUGCACCAUCGACCGAUCCUGAUGUCUUCGGAUGGAUUUGAGUAAGAGCAUAGCUGUUGGGACCCGAAAGAUGGUGAACUAUGCCUGGAUAGGGUGAAGCCAGAGGAAACUCUGGUG